Molecule: long non-coding RNA, 1011 nt
Organism: Agrilus planipennis (emerald ash borer)
Lineage: Eukaryota; Metazoa; Arthropoda; Insecta; Coleoptera; Buprestidae
Exons: 3
Source: RefSeq, a predicted model, not a curated record
AAUACAGAUUGAGAAAUAGCAGUAGGUAAUAUAAAUUAAUAAACGUAUAUGGGCAAUCCAAGUUUCUUCACAACGCCUGUCACGUACGCUCACAUUAUUUUAACUAAAAACACAAUAUUGCUGAACAUUGUUUUUAAUUCAAGACAUGUUUUGGAGAAAAACAUCAUCACCUCUGCACAUUCUGUUCAAGGUUGAUAGAAUUUUGUUGAACAACGAACACACGAUACAAGAUAGUACUACAACAAUCAUAAUACCAUCACCUAGGUAUUUGAGUACCUACAUACACAUAAAAGCAUUUUGGUAUCUUCUUGUUAUAUCACACCUUAAUUACUCAAUUAGUUAACAAUUAAACCAUUUUUUGUAAUGCAGAUUAAGGUUGAUACUAUGUACCAUAAUAAAGUUCAGUAUUCAAAACAUCAUAUUACAUCACGCAUGAUUUAAUUUAUAUGGAAUAAAUGGAACAUUAAGAACAACUUUAAAUGGAAUAUCUUCUUUUAUCCAAAAAAGAAGCUACUUCAAAGUGAUUGGUGCGUAAUCCCAACUAAUAUUAUAAAUGCGAAUGUGACUUUGUUUGUUACUAUUUCACGCCUUAAUUACUCAACCUAACAUCAUAAAAUUUCACACAUACAUUAUCAGGAGUACAGAAAAGGACAUGGGGUACCCUUUAUCCAGAAAAAAUAUACUAUUCCUGAGGGAUAUAAAGAUUAUUUUCAUGUGGCCGUCGAUGAUUUUUGACAGUAUGUACUCUGAUGACUUUUCGUUAAUAUAAAUUCCUCCUACAUGUACAGCUAAAACAAUUAGCUAACAAAAGCAAGAUAUAAAAGAGAACGUAAUAUGUUAGGACUCUAAAAACCUUUCCUGCAUUAUAAUGACCUUUCAUGAAGGAAUAGUAAAAAUUGGCAAAAUAGGAGGGACGCUGCAGUUCAGCGUUACGGUCCUAUUACGAAGGGGUCAAAAUUUGCGUUACCGAACGAUUUUAAAACCGGGAACUGCACCUUAACGUAAUAUGAA